AACGCACAUUGCGCCCCUUGGUAUUCCGAGGGGCAUGCCUGUUCGAGCGUCAUUACAACCCUCAAGCAUUGCUUGGUAUUGGGCUCCGCUGUUCACCCAGCGGGCCUUAAAAUCAGUGGCGGUGCCAUCGAGGCCCUGAGCGUAGUAAAUAUCCUCGCUAUAGGGACCCGGUGGACGCUGGCCAUUAACCCCCAACUUUCUAAGUUUGACCUCGGAUCAGGUAGGGAUACCCGCUGAACUUAA
Molecule: unclassified non-coding RNA, 243 nt
Filed under: uncultured fungus
Lineage: Eukaryota; Fungi
Description: sequence contains ITS2
Rfam family: 5.8S ribosomal RNA (bases 1-52)
Source: RNAcentral